CUUAUUUUGAUGUAAAGUUUAGAACAGAAUUGAAAACAUGUUUCAUUGACAAACUUUAAUGAGCAAUCAUAGUCACUUUAACUUUAAGAGUUACAUAUAUAUAUAAAAUAGGCUGAAUUUAUCAUGGGGAUAUUGAACCUCAUGCAUUGAAGAGAAACUGUCCGCGCUUCGAAAAAUAACGAAAAGACGAACAACAAUUCUAAAACACAACAUAGAAAAUUCAAGAAUGAGCAAGCAACACAAACACAAUCUAAAUAGUAGGGGUGAUCUAAUGUGCGACUUCAGGAUAAUAAUCAUCUGCUCCAUGGUCUAAGUUUCGUUCAUUGAUAUUGAAUUUGAAGAAAAGAUGGCGGAAUUGUGAAUACGACAAUUAUAUUUAUUCGUAGGUAUCUGUGAAACUGAUAUUCAUUAUCAGUCAAUCAACUCAUAAUUGCGAUCGUAAUUUUGUUUUAAGGGAUGCCAUCAACCAUUUUUAUAGAUUUAUUAGCUCUUCAACUUCGUACAUUAUUUGGCCUUUUGACUUUUUGAUUCAAGUGUCACUGGUGAGUCUUUUGUAGACGAAACGUGCGUCUGGCGAAAUACAAAAUUUCAAUCCAGGUAUCUAUGAUGAGUUUAUGAGUGGAAAUGAUUUUUUUAACAUUUUGAGAUCACCACAUAAUGUAUUGAGAGAAAAGUAGAACGGGCUUGAGUCGUGUAUAUAAUAUUGUUUCAGAUUUUUUUCAUCCAUCUAUACCAGAAAGAAGUAAUAAUUAAAUUUUACAUAAACAUACAAUUUGUAUUUUUUGAAAUUUAUGUUACAUUGUUUAUUUGCACAAAAC
RNAcentral lists this long non-coding RNA (818 nucleotides) under Mytilus galloprovincialis (Mediterranean mussel). The record is from RNAcentral. Lineage: Eukaryota; Metazoa; Mollusca; Bivalvia; Mytilida; Mytilidae.